CUCCCUGACAGAUGCCUCAGAGCCCCGGGCCGCAGUUAAGGUGACGAGAUGCAGCAAUUCUUUAUGAACAUUUCAUUCCUGCUCGCUACACGACGUAAAUUAGAUGGUGUGUUACAUUCGGGCAAUAAGAGAGAUAUGUCACCACGACGCUGGCCCAUUGGAUGGAGAGGGUAAUCCUGCCGUGAAUUUCAUUACUGCUUUUAUAUAGACAGAAUUAGCUCGGUGACAGCGAGCCUGAUUGUCUUUCACUAGGGGUUUGGAGAAGAGCUGAAAGGAUUUCACCCUGAUGUGCACACUACUGAGUGACCCCGCUCACCAGCGGCUGCGCUGAUUGCUUUGCACCUUGCAGACCCGCGAUCGGCUCAGCCUCUCCGCCGCCUCGCCUCCCUCCCUGGUCCCCAGCCCUCCCCGCCUGGCUUUUUCUUGAAGCAAGAAGAAAGGAGACCUAGUGGAAGAGUCACAAGGUCACGAAGGGAAAUUUGUACGCGGGGAGGGGCAAGUUGGCAGAGUUGAAAAACCAAAAACCAAA
This 529-nucleotide long non-coding RNA is filed under the name Lynx pardinus (Iberian lynx). The record is from RNAcentral. Lineage: Eukaryota; Metazoa; Chordata; Mammalia; Carnivora; Felidae.